GGUCGAAUCCACUGUCUCCUGUUGUGUGAGAUACGUUUCGACCCGGAGCUCCGCCAUUAAAAAACCUCUUGUUGUUACAUCAAGGUGUUGUGUUCUAUUCGCGAUUCUUGGGUGCACGCCGAAUCGGGAGCUGAGUGGGGGUUUCCCCACUGAGUUCUUUCAUUACCUGUUCUAUCCGUGAUUGCGUCAAUGAACACACUUUUUGAGAAGUUGUAAUUCUUGGAUGAUUCUGUAUUUUAUUGUGCCAAAUGACUAUGAUGAUAUAUGUUCUAUCUGACUGCUUCACUGAACACAUCUGCUCAGAGUUGUAAUAUUUGUUUCUUUAUGCAUAAAAACCCUUGCAUGAGGACUGCAAAAUAUAUUCAGAUUCAAACUG
RNAcentral lists this long non-coding RNA (376 nucleotides) under Mus musculus (house mouse). RNAcentral's name for it is "long non-coding RNA chr8:4612440-4612816". The record is from RNAcentral. Lineage: Eukaryota; Metazoa; Chordata; Mammalia; Rodentia; Muridae.